Molecule: ribosomal RNA, 250 nt
Filed under: uncultured bacterium
Lineage: Bacteria
Description: partial 16S ribosomal RNA
Rfam family: Bacterial small subunit ribosomal RNA
Source: RNAcentral
AAACGAUGGAUGCCCGCUGUCGGCGCCUUGCGCCGGCGGCCAAGCGAAAGCGUUAAGCAUCCCACCUGGGGAGUACGCCGGCAACGGUGAAACUCAAAGGAAUUGACGGGGGCCCGCACAAGCGGAGGAACAUGUGGUUUAAUUCGAUGAUACGCGAGGAACCUUACCCGGGCUUGAAUUGCAGGAGAACGAAACAGAGAUGUUGAGGUCCUUCGGGACUCCUGCGAAGGUGCUGCAUGGCUGUCGUCAG